This 1060-nucleotide small RNA is filed under the name Arabidopsis thaliana (thale cress). Its description in RNAcentral is "ATSL037800". Lineage: Eukaryota; Viridiplantae; Streptophyta; Magnoliopsida; Brassicales; Brassicaceae. The record is from RNAcentral.
GUUUUUUUUUACCUAGUUUUUAUUUCCGCAGACCUUGUGUUCUAGACUUUUUGUAAUCCGGAUUUCUCUUUAUCUAUUCAGUAUUCAAUAUUCAGUUUCUGUUCUUGAUUUUCGUUUACUGUUAUUCAUUCUGUUAUCAUACUGCUGUUAUCAUGUCUUCAACCUGUUCAACGUUUAUGCUUUCUGUCAUGAUGUCUGAGUAGUGAAUAGGUUUCUGAGGAUGGGUUAGAGUAGUGUAGAAUUCUCAGUAUGCUAGGUGAUUGAGUAUUGAUUGAUAGAUCCCUUCUGGAUUAGUUGUUCUUAAUGCCUAUUGCUUUCUGAUCAACUGGAAUUUGAGCCCAGACAUUUCCGCGCCCAAAAGGUGUUCGAUGAAAUGCCUGAACCACUAAUUCCAGAGAUUCGUGACCCUGUACCAAGGUAUUGGUUGCAGGGAGCGUUUUGGCUUUAACUUGUUGAUUCGUAAUGCCUGUUAGGUUAGCUCUCGUCAAUGGUGAUUGAGUCUGGGACUAGGUUAGCUUGAGAGUGUCUGUUGCGGUGGCACUUAGAUUUGGUUAACGAACUUGUUGUCUAGGGUUAAUUUGUUGAGCAUGUCAAUCACCUGUAAACUGAGGAAACGAAACUACUCAAUUACCCCAUCCUUAGGAAUUCUUUGUCUGAUUGAUUUUAUUGUUUACUCUACUGCUGUUUACUGCAUUCUGUCACCUGUUGCUUAGUUUCUACAAUUCUUUACUGUUACUCGACCUGAUACUCGACCACCCAGUUGUCUGGCAACAGACUGUGCAGUCGAGUAUCUUUGUUUCAUUUUCUGUCUGUUACUCGACCUGUCACUCGACCUCACCCAGGGCUCUGCAAAGAGCUGUGUUGGUCGAGUGUUUUACUGUUUCUGUUUGAUUUUCUUUUUCCUGCUUGUUCACUUAGGAUUGCUAGAACACACCAAAACCUGUUAUUGCUUGGCUUGACUUAGUGACUUCUGAUCACAUCUUGAUUGUUAGCAUCACACCCAUUUGGAUUGACAACCUAAAAUACUACAACGACAUGAUUGGUGUUUUAGGAUAAUUGA